This 1197-nucleotide ribosomal RNA is filed under the name uncultured organism. RNAcentral describes it as "bacterial SSU rRNA". It matches the Rfam family "Bacterial small subunit ribosomal RNA", at positions 199 to 1426 of the family's 1533-position model. The record is from RNAcentral.
GAGUAAAGAUUUCGGUCGCUUUGGGAGGAGCUCGCUUACUAUCAGCUUGUUGGUAGGGUAAUGGCCUACCAAGGCUAUGACGGUUAGGGGGUGUGAGAGCAUGACCCCCAGCAUUGGCACUGAAACACUGGCCAAACACCUACGGGUGGCUGCAGUCGAGAAUCUUCCACAAUGGGGGAAACCCUGAUGGAGCGAUGCUGCGUGCGGGAUGAAGGCCUUCGGGUUGUAAACCGCUUUUGUAGGGGACGAAAUUUUUGACGGUACCCUUUCGAAUAAGAGGUUGCUAACUCUGUGCCAGCAGCAGCGGUAAUACAGAGACCUCAAGCGUUAUCCGGAUUUACUGGGCGUAAAGCGUCUGUAGGGGGUUUAUUAAGUUCCAAGUAAAAUUUCAAGGCUCAACUUUGAAUUCGCUUGGAAAACUAAUAAACUGGAGUCUAGCAGAGGUGCAUGGAACUUGUGGUGUAGGAGUGAAAUCCGUUGGUAUCACAAGGAACACCAAAGGCGAAGGCAUUGCACUGGGCUAGCACUGACCCUGAGAGACGAAAGCGUGGGGAGCAAAACGGAUUAGAUACCCGUGUAGUCCACGCCCUAAACGAUGAAUGCUAAAUGUUCGGGGAUUCGACCCCCUGGGUGUUACAGCUAACGCGUUAAGCAUUCCGCCUGGGAAGUACGGCCGCAAGGCUAAAACUCAAAGGAAUAGACGGGGAUCCGCACAAGCGGUGGAGCGUCUGGUUUAAUUCGACAGUAAGCGUGGUACCUCACCAGGGUUUGACAUCCCUUGACAGCCUUGGAAACAAGGUUUCCUUCGGGCAAGGUGACAGGUGCUGCAUGGUCGUCGUCAGUUCGUGCCGUGAGGUGUUCCGUUAAGUCGGGAAACGAACGAAACCCCUAUUGCAUGUUACAAUUUCUCAUGCAAGACUGCCCGGAUAUACUGGGAGGAAGGUGGGGAUGACGUCAGAUCUGCAUGGUCCUUAUACCCUGGGCGACACAGGCGCUACAAUGGCAGAGACAAAGGGUUGCAAAACCGCAAGGUGAAGCUAAUCCCAAAAACUUUGUCUAAGUUCGGAUUGAAGGCUGCAAUUCGCCUUCAUGAAGCUGGAAUCGCUAGUAAUCGUGAAUCAGCCACGUCACGGUGAAUAUGUUCCCGGAUCUUGUACUCACCGCCCGUCACACCAAGAGAGUUGGUAGCUCCCGAAG